This 918-nucleotide ribosomal RNA is filed under the name Triticum aestivum (bread wheat). RNAcentral describes it as "partial small subunit ribosomal RNA". The record is from RNAcentral. Lineage: Eukaryota; Viridiplantae; Streptophyta; Magnoliopsida; Poales; Poaceae.
AUGGCGCCGCUCGCACCCGGGAGGCCACCAGCCUGCCUCCUAACCCUUCUCUCCGUCGUCGCGGCCCUAUCCCUGGCCGCGCCGGGCCUGGCGGCGGGGAAGACCGGCCAGGUGACGGUGUUCUGGGGACGGAACAAGGCCGAGGGGUCCCUGCGCGAGGCCUGCGACUCCGGCAUGUACACCAUGGUCACCAUCUCUUUCCUCGACGUCUUCGGCGCCAACGGAAAGUACCACCUUGACCUCUCCGGCCACGACCUCUCCGCCGUCGGCGCCGACAUCAAGCACUGCCAGUCCAAGGGCGUCCCCGUCUCCCUCUCCAUCGGCGGCUACGGCGCCCGCUACUCGCUCCCGUCCAACCGCUCCGCGCUCGACCUCUUCGACCACCUCUGGGACUCCUACUUCGGCGGGUCCAAGCCGGGCGUGCCCCGCCCCUUGGGCGACGCGUGGCUCGACGGCGUCGACCUCUUCCUGGAGCACGGCACGCCGGCGGACCGCUACGACGUGCUGGCGCUGGAGCUGGCGAAGCACAACAUCCGCGGCGGCCCGGGGAAGCCGCUGCACCUGACGGCGACGGUCCGGUGCGGGUACCCGCCGGCGGCGCACGUGGGGCGAGCGCUGGCGACGGGGAUCUUCGAGCGCGUCCACGUGAGGAUCUACGAGGAGAGCGACAAGGCGUGCAACCAGUACGGGGCGUGGGAGGAGGCGUGGGACAGGUGGACGGCGGCGUACCCGGCCACCCGGUUCUUCAUCGGGCUCACGGCGGACGACAAGUCGUACCAGUGGAUACACCCCAAGAACGUCUACUACGGCAUCACGCCGGUGGUGCAGAAGAAGGAGAACUAUGGCGGGGUCAUGCUCUGGGACCGAUACUUCGACAAGCAGAGCGACUACAGUAGCUACAUCAAGUACUACGCCUGA